This 28-nucleotide non-coding RNA is filed under the name Cricetulus griseus (Chinese hamster). Lineage: Eukaryota; Metazoa; Chordata; Mammalia; Rodentia; Cricetidae. The record is from RNAcentral.
CUGGCAGAAUUCACCAUACGGGUGUGGU